UCUCCAUAUCCCAGGAUUUGAACUGGAUGU
This 30-nucleotide non-coding RNA is filed under the name Rattus norvegicus (Norway rat). The record is from RNAcentral. Lineage: Eukaryota; Metazoa; Chordata; Mammalia; Rodentia; Muridae.